GGACGAACGCUGGCGGCGUGCCUAAUACAUGCAAGUCGAGCGAUUGGUGCUUGCACCAAAGCGGCGGACGGGUGAGUAACACGUGGGUAACCUGCCCAAGAGACUGGGAUAACACCUGGAAACAGAUGCUAAUACCGGAUAACAACACUGACGCAUGUCUAGAGUUAAAAGAUGUUCUUAUCACUCUUGGAUGGACCUGCGGUGCAUUAGCUAGUUGGUAAGGUAACGGCUUACCAAGGCAAUGAUGCAUAGCCGAGUUGAGAGACUGAUCGGCCACAUUGGGACUGAGACACGGCCCAAACUCCUACGGGAGGCAGCAGUAGGGAAUCUUCCACAAUGGACGCAAGUCUGAUGGAGCAACGCCGCGUGAGUGAAGAAGGGUUUCGGCUCGUAAAGCUCUGUUGGUAGUGAAGAAAGAUAGAGGUGUAAGCCUUUAUUUGACGGUAAUUACUUAGAAAGUCACGGCUAACUACGUGCCAGCAGCCGCGGUAAUACGUAGGUGGCAAGCGUUGUCCGGAUUUAUUGGGCGUAAAGCGAGUGCAGGCGGUUCAAUAAGUCUGAUGUGAAAGCCUUCGGCUCAACCGGAGAAUUGCAUCAGAAACUGUUGAGCUUGAGUGCAGAAGAGAGAGUGGAACUCCAUGUGUAGCGGUGGAAUGCGUAGAUAUAUGGAAGAACACCAGUGGCGAAGGCGGCUCUCUGGUCUGCAACUGACGCUGAGGCUCGAAAGCAUGGGUAGCGAACAGGAUUAGAUACCCUGGUAGUCCAUGCGUAAACGAUGAGUGCUAAGUGUUGGGAGGUUUCCCCUCUCAGUGCUGCGGCUAACGCAUUAAGCACUCCGCUGGGGAGUACGACCGCGAGGUUGAAACUCAAAGGAAUUGACGGGGGCCCGCACAAGCGGUGGAGCAUGUGGUUUAAUUCGAAGCAACGCGAAGAACCUUACCAGGUCUUGACAUCCAGUGCAAACCUAAGAGAUUAGGAGUUCCCUUCGGGGACGCUGAGACAGGUGGUGCAUGGCUGUCGUCAGCUCGUGUCGUGAGAUGUUGGGUUAAGUCCCGCAACGAGCGCAACCCUUGUCAUUAGUUGCCAUCAUUAAGUUGGGCACUCUAAUGAGACUGCCGGUGACAAACCGGAGGAAGGUGGGGAUGACGUCAAGUCAUCAUGCCCCUUAUGACCUGGGCUACACACGUGCUACAAUGGACGGUACAACGAGAAGCGAACCUGCGAAGGCAAGCGGAUCUCUGAAAGCCGUUCUCAGUUCGGACUGUAGGCUGCAACUCGCCUACACGAAGCUGGAAUCGCUAGUAAUCGCGGAUCAGCACGCCGCGGUGAAUACGUUCCCGGGCCUUGCACACACCGCC
RNAcentral lists this ribosomal RNA (1358 nucleotides) under uncultured bacterium. RNAcentral's name for it is "bacterial SSU rRNA". It matches the Rfam family "Bacterial small subunit ribosomal RNA", at positions 27 to 1394 of the family's 1533-position model. The record is from RNAcentral.